GUACCACUGUACCAGGUUUCUGACACCUAUUCAUCAGAAGCUCUUCAAGAAGCUUUGUGGUUUCUUAUGCAUGUGCAGAAUAAUUUUAGUUCCACCGAUUUUAAGAAACAUUACGCCCUCAGAUGUGACCUCAUGUCUCCUUGUCCAUUUAGACCACCUUUGCUUCUCAUAUUUGUAUUCCCAGUUAGGUGCUGACAAAUCAAAGCACCCCUUUCAUCCCUUCUAAUUCUUAUUAAAUGAGUUUCCUCUCUUUGCCACUAAGUAACCUAUUGUUUCAAUUUACAGUUCAUUACAUUAUGGUUGUCUGGGUUUUUAUUAGUAACAGUAGUAUUUCUUUUAAUCAAUUUUUUCAGCCAAGGCUAUGUGUUUUAAAAAAAUCAAUGAGUAAAGACAAUACACAAUUAUUUAUAUGGCUGUUGCCUCUGUUGUAAUGUAAUAUUAUUACCAUCUAAAUGCUUGCAGAGCGUUCAGGCAGCCAAGGUCUGUGCCACAUGCUCUUCACUGCUGGAGCCCUGGAGUAUUGUUUUUGAAAGCUGUUUAUUCCUAAAUACUCCUGAUGAUAAUACAAAUGCCACCAAUGUGGUUUCAAGCACUACAGAAGAAAGGAACAGAGGGGCUCGUAUUGUUUCAGAUAUGGCACUGAGCCUUCAAAAUGUGUCUGGAAGAGAGGCAGGCAGGCAGCAGGGGCUGAUUAAGAGAGAAACAGGGUGAUAAAACCAAGUAGAAAAUUGAUCUGCAAAGCUUGCAAGUUUAUUUGUAAAAUUCCCCUCCAGCGGCAAAGCUUAGCCUCUGAAUAAGAAUGUUCCACCAAGACUGAGAUUAACCCUUGAAAGGCUUGAUUGGUCUGAUUCCCCUUUGUUUCCCAUUAAAGAUCUUUUAUCUAUGCUUCUUACCCUGAAAUCCUAUGUGUCAUUACUAGAAAGUAAGCCACAUUGAAAUCAGUGGGACUUACUUCUAGGUAAACAUCUCUGGAGCAGAAAUUCUUUGGCAGCAGGAAGAAAUCAUCCAUAAUUUUUGGCAUUCGGUGUAGAUUCUGAAAGGGAGGUGGAAGAAUUCACCUGCAGAUGUAAAGCCAUUGCUGUAAAAGGCUGGAUCAAUACCAAAGCAAACAGAACACCCAUUUCUUGCAUUUUAGAGGUAGGCACAAUUACAAAUAUCGUUUUUAAAAAUUGAAUGUGUCUCUGUGUCAACAUUAUGCUGAACACGCAUAAGAGGAUCAAGGCCAAUAAGCACAAUCCUAUCUCUGUUGCACAUGUUCAGGGUAUGUUCAAGUAACAUGCCUAAAGAGAAGAGAGUAAAUGAGAUGCAGAGGGGAAGGAGAAUUUUCCUUGGUGCAAAGCAGGGACAGUGAACAGACUGCAAGUUUUGGGUAAUGAAUUGGGCAGAAUAUAUUUCCUUUUCCUCAAAAAGGAAUAUUGUGGAUCUUUUUUUCAGUAAAUAACUGUAUUAGAAGUAGCAGCUGUUGAAAGAAACUUGCAGAAACAAGCUGGGAGGGCAGAGAGGGUUGUGUGAAAUAAUUCAGACCUGCUCGUCGUUGUUUUUUACUGCUGAGUUCAGUGUGGGUUGCUUGAAUGUCUUUGAAAUGCUGCAUCAGUGUUGCUAUUGGCUGUUGCCACUAGCUUCCCUUGCCUGACUGGCAUGCAAGGUGUUUGCCUUUCAGUCUGGGGCAUAUUCAUAUCUGUGUCAUCUGCCACCCACUAGCAGAAGAAGCAGUGAGCGUCUGUUAAGCACAGUGUUAACUCUCCAAAAGUGUAAUGUGCCCAGCAAGGCUCUGGCAUAAAAACCUAGGGAAUCUUUGCCUAAACAUGGGAAGAAACACACGUGGAUAUGUAGGAAGAGUAAUACAAGGGACACUUUUGAUGUAAAAAUGAAAUGCAUCGUUUGGUUGAGGUCUGAAAGCAGACAACCAUAUCUGGCAUGCACAAAACACACACACCCUCUUUAUCAGUAAGGCAUCAGCGUUCUUUUUAACCAUGGGAUUAAUUUGUGUUUAUUCACUAUUUUAACACACAUGGAAUAAGACCAGCUGUGUUUGUAAUGAGUCAAGAAAGAUAUGGGGUGGAAUGCAACAUAGCAAUAGCACUAAGGAGAUUGUUCCAUCAGCCCUGCAUUUGUGCCUGCCCAAGGGGCAAUGGUCUCCCCUCUCCUCCCACCCCCAUUGUUCUGAUGGUUCUCCAACCCCCCUAGAGUGGACUUGAAGGAGGCACAGGGGGCUCGCAGAGGGUGUGGGAAGCCCUGUUGCACGGGCAAGAGGCCUUGUGCUGGCUUCUGCCAGCAGGACCAGGUGGCUGAAUCCAGCCCAUAGUUUUCUGCAACACAUAAAUGCACUACAGUCAGCUUUGCCUGUGACUUUCUCCAGUAGGAGGGUUUAGGGUGGAAAUAAACUUUGCCCCCUGCCCCAGAAAGUAAUGAAAGGACAGGGCCACGAUAUCUGAUCUGCCUGAAAAAUCUUAUUUCCACAGCUUCCUAAUGCAACUGUCCUUUGGAUGUUUUUUUAAAAAGCCCUAAGUUGAAUGUCAGUGGAGAUGGAAAUACUCCGACUGUUUUCUGUAUGUAUCCAUUUUUAAUCCAUGAUUUGCGGCCAUUCAUUAUCUUUUGCAGAGAUUGCCCUGUUUACAGGACUCUUGUCUUCUUGUGAGCCGCACAGACCAAUUUGCCUAGUGCUCUAAUAUGCCGCUCAUCCGCAGCCCACUUCUAAGCAGUGAAAGUUUGAGGGAGGUGGUGCUCAUCCAGGCUGCCAUUUCCUUUGGGAAAAGGUCACAGUGAGCUUGUGGCAUUUUGUAAAACUGGAGAUUCAUCUCAUUAACACUCAACCAGAUUUUGCUCCCCUAUCAAAGUUGGCCCAUGGGGAGUGGGGGGCGGGGAACAAGCCUCUGGCUGACCCACUGGAUCCAUUUUCCCAUGCCUGCUUUACGCAAACCAAAGUAGCACAUUCUUUAAGGAGUGGGGAGAGAAAGAUUAAGCCCCUUUCCAAAACAGUCCCAUUACCAUAAUUGAAAAAGCUGGUUUCCAUAUUGUUGUUUGCAUCCACCUGACUUGUGAGACAAUGGAAGAAUGCACCUUUGGAGGGAAAGUCAAGCCACUGGAGAGUUAUAGCACCUGCUGUGGCUGCAGAGACUGAUACGGGAGAGACAUGUUUUAUGGCAGGUGGGGCAGGUGAAGGCAUCCAGUUUUUGCUGCUGCAGGUGCACCAGGGCGUUUCUUCUCUCUCUAAUCCACCAAGUUAAACAUGUCCAAGUAGUUUGACCUCCUUAACAGUCUCUUUUAACAAAAACAGAGUCGCAGAAUUGAGGGGAAUCCUUGUGAGAGCAUUCAAAUCAACUCCAAUCACAUAACAAUUGCACGGUAAUGCUUUUUUUGCCAACUCAAGUGCAUAUGAAGUGUUCCUCAAUGAAUAGAGAACCUGAUUUAUUUUUUAUUUAUUUUUUACACUAUCAUAAAUAGCAUCUUUUAAAAUUUAAAUUCUCAGAGCUAUUUGUCGGUUUAGUAGCCAUUUCUUGUCAUUUUGUUUAUGCUAGAGACAAGGAAAAUCAAUGAUGGCAUUCACAGCAGACACCUAAGAUAUGCAGAUCAAAUCUAGGACAUUAAAAUUCAAAUUCCAUGGACCAUCUUCUCUUUCUUUCUUUCUCUCUCUCUCUCUCUCUCUCAAAUACACACACUCCCCCCUUCAUCUUCCUCUGUCUCCUCUCACUUUAUCUGGUGAGGGGGAACUGUUGCCAUAGCAAUAACAUCUUAAAGUUUUCCAGAAGUGCUAGAGGAAUAAUUUUCUUUCCUGCUCCUCCUUAACAGUUCAGGAAAAUGGAGCUUAUUACAGAGAAAAUUCUUUUUCUUUGUGAUUUGAUCGGAGAUGAGCCGAGUAUUUUGCAGUCUCGAGGAAAGUUGCCUUCUCUGUGAUGAGAAACCCAGCUGGGCUGCCCACUGCUGCAAUUGGUCUGACCUAAAAUGGCUCGUGUCUCUUUUGUUGCUGAUUUGGACAGUAGGAUUUUGACCAGCCAGCAGAUUCUAAAUGGGAGACGAGAGGAGGGCAGGCUACAAGCCACCCACAAAAUAGGUAAACCUACUGAGAUAAACAGACUGAGCAGCAGAGAGUACAAACAGAUCUAAUGUCUCCCACUUCUGCGACAGCUGUGGUGUAUGUAUUCUGCUUCUGAAGAAAAACAGUUUUAGGCAUCGAUUUUGGGUGGGCUCCACAUGCCUCGUAAAGAAGGCGAGGGGCAUGAUUGGAGUCAUCCUGUAUCUGUAUUCAACAAGCAGCCCCAGCACCUGUAAGCUCUUAGGCAGUGUUCCUCAGUGGCUGUGUCCAUGAUACUUUAUCCCAUGUGCUCAAGAUUCCUGUCUUUCUUCUUAUUCCAGACUUACUCUUUUAUAGGCAGGUCUCCAUAAAUCACUCAGGCCUAAUGAAAACCAUAAGCAAGUGUUUAAGCACUCUGGGAACUAUAGUUCAAUCAGUGGAAUAGGGGAGGCCUCCUAACAACUCUCAGCACCCAUAGCAAACCACAGUUCCCAGAAUUCUUUGGGGGACACCAUGACUGUUUAAAAUGGCAUGGUACUGCUUUAAAUGUAUGGUAUGGAUGGGGCCAUUGUUUCACUAGGAACCCAAGCUGAUCUUGCUAGCCUGAAGUUGUGCCAUCAGUUGUCCUUUCUCAUCCCUCAUGUAUUGUUUCAGGAGGUUGUUUUCCAAAUCUACAAUUGCUUCAGUUGCAUUUUUUGUUUCUUAUAAUUCAACACCUGUUGACCUUCCACUUAAAACUUGGCAAGACGACAGGGAGGAGGCAAGGGGUGUAGCCAGGACCGAGAAACAUUGGGGCAAGUACGGGAUGGAGAAGGAAGAACUCACAGGGUGAUGGAGAAUGGUGAAGGGAUGGGGAUCCGUGCACAGGAACCAGAACCCAUAACCAGAGCCAGAGAGGCCCCUAUCUCCAUGACCACAGUGGGCUCUGAGGUGGGAGGAACACUCUAGAAGGCUGAGGCAAUCGAGGGCCCACAGCCCAGCUUCCUAGUGCUAGAAGGAGGCGUGUGAUUCCUCAGCUGGAGUAGGUUUAGCACAGGUGAAGGUCCCAUGCCUCAUCAAAGCCCAGAUGCUGCAAUAGGCAGAGCUGAACUGCUGUUACUCAACUGCCCAUGUUGAGGGACCUUGUUUUGGAUGUUGUUGGACCUCUACCGGACUGGGUUUGGGGUUUGAUUCUGGGCUGUAUCCUGACUGCUGGACUUCAGACUUGGCUACUUGGAUUGACCUUGGACUGUGUUUCCUGACCUUUGGAUUUUGCUUGUGUGGCUUGACCUCCAGACUUUGAACUUUGGACGACAUGCUGACUUGUUGCCAGGUAGGCCCAGGCGUUCAAAACACAAGAUCUCUUUUACACUUGGAAUUGUAUUUCUGUUUGAGAAUAGUAUAUGUGGUACAUAGCUGUCAACUUUUCCCUUUUCUUGCGAGGAAUCCUAUUCGGAAUAAGGGAAUUUCCCUUUAAAAAAGGGAAACAUUGACAGCUCUGAUGUGGUAUCCCCAGAAUCCGAGGCAAAUGAUGGAAACAGUUUUCUAUAUAUUCCUAAUUCUUAGAGGAUAGUAUCCUUUUUUUCUGACCUGUUUUGGUUGGGGUUUUUUCUCUUGGUGGAGUUAUUACUUUGGACUAUUGCUGGUUGGUUUAGGACUAAUGGACAGUCCUGCUUCAGGAGCAAAUGGGAAGAGCUGACAAGAAAGGUCAAUUGAAUGUUUGUCUUUAAAGUACACCUCACUUAAUAUUCUCCUCACUACUCUCACAUUUAAUUAUAGGUUUUGGCAUUGUUUUGGUUUUGCUAGGUAAAGCAUAAGGAUGGAAUUAUCCAAUUCUUGCAUCCUAGAAAUGAUUUCAUUUUUUUAUUUCUGUCCCAAGUGUUGAUAUAAAACAUUCAUGUUAUUUUUUUUCACCUACAAUGUUUGCUUUAGCAACCUGUCUUUCAAAUAUGCAACUAUUUCAGAAGCAUUUUGUGCUUUAAUAAUUCAGUCACCCAUUGACUUUUCACUUAAAACCUGGCUAGCCCCUUUUUAACACUUCAAAUAUAUAAUUGGCUCAGGGCCAGUUUACACAUUUCUUUCCAAGUCUGUAAAAUCUGCACACAGUGACUUUACCACCUCAUUUAUCUGAAAUAGCUCCUGUGUGACAUAUUUUCAGAGAUGCCGUAUCAGAGAAAAUGCUAGGUUUGAAAUAUUUUCUCUCAUAUUGUAAGUUCUGCAAUUUUUAUGUGGGGGCUCUUUCAGGUGGGGGAGGAAAGCUGCCCCCAUAAGAAAAAUUUAAGUCAACUUUACCAUCUCAUAAAGGACCAUACCACAUUUAAAGGAUAUGGUAUCUCCUGGACCCAAGAUUUUGCCAUCUGUGGGGCAGGAUGCACUCAAAAUCAUUGUAGACAGUGGUUUGGUAGAUGAUAUAUGUUUGUGUGAAAAUGAGUGAAAUGGGUGUGUAUGUGACAGCAGACUACGGGGGAGAGUGGAUGUGUGAGAGGGAAUGGGUAUUUGCUGUCUAUGAGGAGGAUGAAGGGAGAGAGAUUGAAUCUUUGUGUGAGGACGAGUGAGGCUAGGGUUGUUAUGAGGCACUGCAAAGAAAGAAUAUGUGCCAGAAGUGUGUCACUGGGUGGAGCAGAGUCACGGUACUAGCCUAGUUUCCUGGCUGGUGGGUUGCUGCUGCUUACUAGGAGAGAGAGAAGGGAGGGACAAGAUGCCACAGAGGUUGGCAUAGUGCGAACACAUGGGCAGGAGUAAUAGAAUGGAUGUGUUGGUGCAUGUGCACCAUGGGCAGGAGUAAUAGAAUGGAUGUGUUGGUGCAUGUGCACCAUGCUUUGGAUUCUUAGAUCACGGACUGCAGUUUCUUGAAGAUGGACUUCUGGCAAGCGAUGGGCUGCACCUCACAAUGGUUGGGAGGAAUGUUUUUGCCAAAAAUCUCAGAAACCUCAUCAGGAGGGCUUUAAACUGACUAAUGUGGGGGAGGAGACAGUGCUCCUGAAGGUAGGAGUCUAUCAAUUGAUGAAGAUGAUCAUCCAAAUGUCAUAGCCCAAAUGGAGCAAAUAGCACGCAGACCUAGUGGUGGGAGGAAAAAAUCCUUAAAUAAGAGA
Podarcis lilfordi (Lilford's wall lizard) is the source of this 7083-nucleotide non-coding RNA. The record is from the annotation of a GenBank genome assembly. Lineage: Eukaryota; Metazoa; Chordata; Lepidosauria; Squamata; Lacertidae.